RNAcentral lists this ribosomal RNA (135 nucleotides) under uncultured Beijerinckia sp. RNAcentral describes it as "partial 16S ribosomal RNA". It matches the Rfam family "Bacterial small subunit ribosomal RNA", at positions 355 to 507 of the family's 1533-position model. Lineage: Bacteria; Pseudomonadati; Pseudomonadota; Alphaproteobacteria; Hyphomicrobiales; Beijerinckiaceae. The record is from RNAcentral.
UGGGGAAUAUUGGACAAUGGGGGCAACCCUGAUCCAGCCAUGCCGCGUGAGUGAUGAAGGCCUUAGGGUUGUAAAGCUCUUUUGUCCGGGAAGAUAAUGACGGUACCGGAAGAAUAAGCCCCGGCUAACUUCGUG